RNAcentral lists this ribosomal RNA (468 nucleotides) under uncultured bacterium. RNAcentral describes it as "partial 16S ribosomal RNA". It matches the Rfam family "Bacterial small subunit ribosomal RNA", at positions 28 to 507 of the family's 1533-position model. The record is from RNAcentral.
GACGAACGCUGGCGGCGUGCUUAACACAUGCAAGUCGAACGGAAAGGCCCUGCUUUUGUGGGGUGCUCGAGUGGCGAACGGGUGAGUAACACGUGAGUAACCUGCCCUUGACUUUGGGAUAACUUCAGGAAACUGGGGCUAAUACCGGAUAGGAGCUCCUGCUGCAUGGUGGGGGUUGGAAAGUUUCGGCGGGUGGGGAUGGACUCGCGGCUUAGCAGCUUGUUGGUGGGGUGGUGGCUUACCGAGGCUUUGACGGGUAGCCGGCCCGAGAGGGUGACCGGGGACAUGGGGACUGCGGUACGGCGCAGACGGGUACGGGGGGCAGCAGGGGGGAGUAUUGCGCAGUGGGCGGAAGCGUGAUGCGGCGACGCCGCGUGCGGGAUGACGGCCUUGGGGGUGUAAAGCGCUUUCGCCUGUGACGAAGCGUGAGUGACGGUAGUGGGUAAAGAAGCACCGGCUAACUACGUG